GUCUCUUUGAUUUUAUUUAAUAAAGAGUCGGGCCUGCUCGGUGAUUAAUAUUUAACAGCUGCGGUAUUAUAACUGUACUAAGGUAGCAUAAUAAUUUGCUCUAUAAAUUGGGGCUAGAAUGAAUGGUUUGACGAAAAUUAAACUGUCUCUAUUUUAUUUAUUAGAAAUUAAUUGUUAUAGUGAAAAAGCUUAAAUAAUUUAAAGGGACGAAAAGACCCUAUUGAGCUUAUAUUAAUAGGUGAAUAGAAUAAUGUUAUGUAUUUAUUAAGUAUAUUAAUUUUGGUUGGGGUGAUCAAGGAAUAAUAAAUAAUAUAUAUAUAUAAUAACUUCCUUAGAUAAUAUUAUUGAUAGGUGAAUAAACCAAAUUUGUUGCUUAUAAGAUAAGUUACCAUAGGGAUAACAGCGUAAUUUUUUUUGAGAGUUCAUAUUGAAAAAAGAGAUUGCGACCUCGAUGUUGGAUUAAAAUAACCUUAAGGUGUAGAGGCUUUAUUAGGUGAAUCUGUUCGAUUUUUAAAAUUUU
Molecule: ribosomal RNA, 520 nt
Filed under: Octopus sp. 2 LD-2011
Lineage: Eukaryota; Metazoa; Mollusca; Cephalopoda; Octopoda; Octopodidae
Description: partial 16S ribosomal RNA
Rfam family: Bacterial large subunit ribosomal RNA
Source: RNAcentral